RNAcentral lists this unclassified non-coding RNA (345 nucleotides) under Bombus terrestris (buff-tailed bumblebee). RNAcentral describes it as "misc RNA ENSBTSG00005027669.1". The record is from RNAcentral. Lineage: Eukaryota; Metazoa; Arthropoda; Insecta; Hymenoptera; Apidae.
UUCGUAUCAUUCUCCCCAAGUGCUUCUUCCAGCAUAUCAACCACUUCAGUUCCUCUUUUCCCGAGUUUCAUGAGACAUUUCGCAUUAAUGCGUUCUUCUUAAACAUAUCACCAGACAUUUUCAAGACGCGUGGUGGCUGAAAGAAACAUGGACAAUAUGGGUAUACUAAAAGAAAAUUUCUGUUUAUAGAAAACACUUUAAUCUCCAUUCUUCGCCCGGCCAGAUCGCCGCGUCGUUGCUGAACUAGCAGAAAAAGAAUCAUCUUCCGAACCUUCAGAGCCGAGGAAUAGAUAUCCCCUUUCAACGAGAAACGCCCUUUUUCACGGACUGGAGCGGCAAGAAUAA